CUGCUGGUAUUGGCGCAGGCGUUUGUCGGCGUCUGAUUUUUUAGAGGUGGCAUCCACGAGGGAGAUGGUGAGCUGGUCCACCUGGCCCUCCAAAUUCUCAUUGUCUCGCUCCAGCCUCGCUACCGCGCUUGAGUCGCCCUCCAGCAACCCCGCCAGAUGCUCCUUCAUCUGCACACCGGCACGACUCAAAUUUACAUUGAAAUUCAGAUUAAAUUCACAUUUUAGUUCAGAGGGGCUACAAAGCACUAUUGAAAGUGCUGGUUCUUAAUUUGGCAUUGCUCGGCCUCUGACACUGCCAAGAAGAUCAUUAAAGAUGGCAACAAUUGUUUGGCACUGUGCCUCUUACAAUGAUUGAAAGGCAGUGCUGGGAUAUUUACCUUGACAGCUUCCGUCAGCUCGGUGACCUUGACCAGGAGCUGGUCUUCCAGCUCACUGCACUGCCUUCUGA
This 448-nucleotide long non-coding RNA is filed under the name Coccomyxa subellipsoidea. RNAcentral describes it as "long non-coding RNA (CSUB_LNC000617)". Lineage: Eukaryota; Viridiplantae; Chlorophyta; Trebouxiophyceae; Coccomyxaceae. The record is from RNAcentral.